UACCAGCACCCCGAGUGGUCGGGACGUUUAUUGGGCCUAAAGCAUCCGUAGCCGGUUCUACAAGUCUUCCGUUAAAUCCACCUGCUUAACAGAUGGGCUGCGGAAGAUACUAUGGAGCUAGGAGGCGGGAGAGGCAAGCGGUACUCGAUGGGUAGGGGUAAAAUCCGUUGAUCCAUUGAAGACCACCAGUGGCGAAGGCGGCUCACUGGCCCGGUACUGACGCUGAGGUGCGAAAGCGUGGGGAGCAAACAGG
Molecule: ribosomal RNA, 253 nt
Filed under: uncultured bacterium
Lineage: Bacteria
Description: partial 16S ribosomal RNA
Rfam family: Archaeal small subunit ribosomal RNA
Source: RNAcentral